Molecule: ribosomal RNA, 403 nt
Filed under: Verrucomicrobiota bacterium
Lineage: Bacteria; Pseudomonadati; Verrucomicrobiota
Description: Verrucomicrobia bacterium partial 16S ribosomal RNA
Rfam family: Bacterial small subunit ribosomal RNA
Source: RNAcentral
UGGGGAAUAUUGCACAAUGGGGGAAACCCUGAUGCAGCGACGCCGCGUGAGCGAAGAAGGUUUUCGAAUCGUAAAGCUCUGUCCUAGGAGAAGAUAAUGACGGUAUCAUAGGAGGAAGCCCCGGCUAAAUACGUGCCAGCAGCCGCGGUAAUACGUAUGGGGCGAGCGUUGUCCGGAAUUAUUGGGCGUAAAGGGUACGUAGGCGGUCUAUUAAGUCAGGUGUGAAAGCGUGAGGCUUAACCUCAUUAAGCACUUGAAACGGAUAGACUUGAGUGAAAGAGAGGAAAGUGGAAUUCCUAGUGUCGCGGUGAAAUGCGUAGAUAUUAGGAGGAAUACCGGUGGCGAAGGCGACUUUCUGGACUUUUACUGACGCUCAGGUACGAAAGCGUGGGGAGCAAACAGG